UGCCAGCCGCCGCGGUAAUACGGGGGGUCCAAGCGUUGUUCGGAAUCAUUGGGCGUAAAGCGCGUGUAGGCGGCUUGGCAAGUCGGAUGUGAAAGCCCGGGGCUCAACCCCGGAAUUGCAUUCGAAACUGCCAGGCUAGAGUCUCGGAGAGGAAGGCGGAAUUCCCGGUGUAGAGGUGAAAUUCGUAGAUAUCGGGAGGAACACCAGUGGCGAAGGCGGCCUUCUGGACGAUGACUGACGCUGAGACGCGAAAGCGUGGGGAGCAAACAGGAUUAGAUA
Molecule: ribosomal RNA, 279 nt
Filed under: uncultured bacterium
Lineage: Bacteria
Description: partial 16S ribosomal RNA
Rfam family: Bacterial small subunit ribosomal RNA
Source: RNAcentral